AUUGAACGCUGGCGGCAGGCCUAACACAUGCAAGUCGAACGGUAACAGGAAACAGCUUGCUGUUUCGCUGACGAGUGGCGGACGGGUGAGUAAUGUCUGGGAAACUGCCUGAUGGAGGGGGAUAACUACUGGAAACGGUAGCUAAUACCGCAUAACGUCGCAAGACCAAAGAGGGGGACCUUCGGGCCUCUUGCCAUCGGAUGUGCCCAGAUGGGAUUAGCUUGUUGGUGGGGUAACGGCUCACCAAGGCGACGAUCCCUAGCUGGUCUGAGAGGAUGACCAGCCACACUGGAACUGAGACACGGUCCAGACUCCUACGGGAGGCAGCAGUGGGGAAUAUUGCACAAUGGGCGCAAGCCUGAUGCAGCCAUGCCGCGUGUAUGAAGAAGGCCUUCGGGUUGUAAAGUACUUUCAGCGGGGAGGAAGGGAGUAAAGUUAAUACCUUUGCUCAUUGACGUUACCCGAAGAAGAAGCACCGGCUAACUCCGUG
This 490-nucleotide ribosomal RNA is filed under the name uncultured bacterium. RNAcentral describes it as "partial 16S ribosomal RNA". It matches the Rfam family "Bacterial small subunit ribosomal RNA", at positions 30 to 507 of the family's 1533-position model. The record is from RNAcentral.